AUUGAACGCUGGCGGAAUGCUUUACACAUGCAAGUCGAGCGGCAGCGCGGGGGCAACCCUGGCGGCGAGCGGCGAACGGGGUGAGUAACAUAUCGGAACGUACCCCGUCGUGGGGGAUAACACAGCGAAAGCUGUGCUAAUACCGCAUACGACCUGAGGGUGAAAGCGGGGGAUCGCAAGACCUCGCGCGAUGGGAGCGGCCGAUAUCGGAUUAGCUUGUUGGUGAGGUAAAGGCUCACCAAGGCGACGAUCCGUAGCUGGUACUGAGAGGACGACCAGCCACACUGGAACUGAGACACGGUCCAGACUCCUACGGAGGCAGCAGUGGGGAAUUUUGGACAAUGGGGGGCAACCCUGAUCCAGCCAUUCCGCGUGAGUGAAGAAGGACCUCGG
Molecule: ribosomal RNA, 393 nt
Filed under: uncultured bacterium
Lineage: Bacteria
Description: bacterial SSU rRNA
Rfam family: Bacterial small subunit ribosomal RNA
Source: RNAcentral